RNAcentral lists this transfer RNA (74 nucleotides) under Telmatocola sphagniphila. It matches the Rfam family "tRNA". From Rfam's summary of the family: Transfer RNA (tRNA) molecules are approximately 80 nucleotides in length. Their secondary structure includes four short double-helical elements and three loops (D, anti-codon, and T loops). The record is from Rfam by way of RNAcentral. Lineage: Bacteria; Pseudomonadati; Planctomycetota; Planctomycetia; Gemmatales; Gemmataceae.
CGGGCCGUAGCUCAGUUUGGUAGAGCGCUUGGUUUGGGACCAAGAAGUCGUAGGUUCAAAUCCUAUCGGCCCGA